RNAcentral lists this ribosomal RNA (466 nucleotides) under uncultured Geothermobacter sp. RNAcentral's name for it is "bacterial SSU rRNA". It matches the Rfam family "Bacterial small subunit ribosomal RNA", at positions 920 to 1382 of the family's 1533-position model. Lineage: Bacteria; Pseudomonadati; Thermodesulfobacteriota; Desulfuromonadia; Desulfuromonadales; Geothermobacteraceae. The record is from RNAcentral.
CCCGCACAAGCGGUGAGCAUGUGGUUUAAUUCGACGCAACGCGUAAAGAACCUUUACCUGGGUUUGACAUCCCGAUCGUACUCUAUGGAAACAUAGGGGUCAGUUCGGCUGGAUCGGUGACAGGUGCUGCAUGGCUGUCGUCAGCUCGUGUCGUGAGAUGUUGGGUUAAGUCCCGCAGCGAGCGCAACCCUUGUCCUUAGUUGCCACCAUUCAGUUGGGCACUCUAAGGAGACUGCCGGUGUUAAACCGGAGGAAGGUGGGGAUGACGUCAAGUCCUCAUGGCCCUUAUAUCCAGGGCUACACACGUGCUACAAUGGUCGGUACAACGAGUUGCGAGUCGGUGACGGCGAGCUAAUCUCUUAAAGCCAAUCUCAGUUCGGAUUGUAGGCUGCAACUCGCCUACAUGAAGUCGGAAUCGCUAGUAAUCGCGGAUCAGCACGCCGCGGUGAAUACGUUCCCGGGCCUU